Lolium rigidum is the source of this 788-nucleotide long non-coding RNA. RefSeq lists it as uncharacterized. Lineage: Eukaryota; Viridiplantae; Streptophyta; Magnoliopsida; Poales; Poaceae. The record is from RefSeq and is a predicted model, not a curated record. The transcript is spliced from 3 exons.
CGGAUGCGCUCCAACGGAUUCGUGAUGCGCUUCUAGAAAACAACUUCCCCACUUCCCGUGCCACCAGAGAGUACACGAUCUGUAACUUCCUGACUCCUCUCCUUGAUAUUUUCCUUUAAUCCCCAUCCGCAUCCUCUCCUCCCCCUAGUAAUACUCCUGCGAAAUCCUCUCCCCGCUAGUAAUAUGCCCAAUCAGAUCCUCUUCUGCCUCGACGCCCUAGCCAGAUCCUCUUCUGCCGCUGAGCCCCGGCCGCGCUGCAACUCACCUUCACAAGGCUAGAUGUUUAGGGUUCAUCAAUUCUGUGCAGCGGCGAGCCGGCGCACCGAACACUACUGACCAUCGACGGAAACCACGCUAUGCAGACACAUCGCUGGAUAUCCGGUUCAGCUCUGCAGAUAUUUAAGUUUAUCUCUCACCCAACCCAAAUUUCUGCACUCCAUUGUUGGCUUGGUCCGUUCACUUUAUUUUUUCAGGUAAUGUGGUGGAUCUGUGUUGUGCCUCCUGCCGUUCCUGACCUCCAACAAAGAGUCCCCUCACUCCAUGAUCCCCUGCCAAGAGAGCCAGACAGCCAGCCAUCGCACCCACCCGACUUCUCCCUUAAUCAGAUUGCCAAAAUAAGUGGAUGACGUAUGGCUGAGAUGAUGAGAGAAAGUUUCGAGAAUGCUGCUGCAACCAUAUAGUUGUCUAUUAUUUUUUAGAAUGUUAUCGAGAUACACAACUUGUAUUCAGCAAAUCAUGCUCUAUGUAAAGCUACAAAUUUCAUUUAAUAUAUGAAAUAUUUCUGUUUA